Molecule: long non-coding RNA, 33110 nt
Filed under: Manihot esculenta (cassava)
Lineage: Eukaryota; Viridiplantae; Streptophyta; Magnoliopsida; Malpighiales; Euphorbiaceae
Description: long non-coding RNA (MESC_LNC009639)
Source: RNAcentral
UUAUGUGUUUAAGUCAGGUCCAAGAAGAGUAUCUUAGGGUUUUAUUUGUUUUUCUCCUUACUAUAUAAGGAUAAGAAACAAUUGUAAGAGGCAGUUUUUAAUCAAAAUUUCAGAAUUCUUCUCAUGCCUUUGGCGUGUAUUGCUUUGAGUGAGAGUGAGGAUUUGCUUUCAUCAAUUGCACCAGGAAUCUUGGCUUACUUAUCAACUAUUCGUUGUGGCGUUUGUCAGAUUCUCAUCUAAAUCCUUCGAUCAUUGGUGUUUCAGCUUCUCUAAGUGUGGGGUGCCAUAGGAGGUGGGUUUAUCAAAUCUUUGGAUUCUAUAUCUACUUGUGCGUGUGGGUUUGAGGCUUGUGCCAUAGGGUUCCGCAUCAGUUACGCUAUGAUAUGGAAGACCAGGUGUGGCCUGCACUACGCCCCUAGCACUAUGUAAGAGAAAGUCCGGGUGUGGCCUGCACUACGCCCCCGGCAUGGUUGGAUAAUGUUAUGAUAUGUAUAUGUAAGAGAAAGUCCAGGUGUGACCUGCACUACGCCCCUGGCACAAUUGGAUUAUGCAGAGAGUUAUUGGUGACAAAUCCAUCCGUGAUGUGAAUUGUUUGUGAUGUAAUGCAUUUCAUGAUGGCAUAUGUUUAUAAACAGUUUUGUUGUUCUGCUCACUGGGCUCUUGUAGCUCACCCUUUUUCCUAACCCCCAGGUUUGCAGGUUCAAAAUAGACCGAAAAGUCGUCAAGGGUAAAAGCUAUGUCUAUGUAAUAGAUUAGUAGUGGACAUGAUACGUAAACUAAUGUAAUGUUAUGUAAAGUGUUGUAAAAUAAUGUAAAGAGGAUUAGUAUUGUGCUUGGCCCUAAUGUAUGGUUAAUCCCCCUUUUUGUACAAGAUCUUAUGUUAAUGUUUUAAUGAUGAGUUAUGUUGAACCAGCCUUGACAUAUGAUAUGCUACCCUGCUAGAGCAUUUGAUGAGGGCUCUAGUGUGGGGUUUUUAUGUUUACUGUUAUGGUGCAUGCACAGGUCAAGUUUGGUGUAUAAAAAGUUUAAAGAUUUUAUGAAUGUUGAUCAUGUAUGGGAUUUAUCAGGUAUGACAGGAUGUAUACUAGGCUUGCUACGAGUCCCGGCGACCUUAAGUCGAUCUGGAUCCUAGCGCCGGUAGCGGUCCGGUUUCCGGGUCGUUACAGAUAAAAAUAAAGUUAAGUGAGUAAAAUGAGUUUUUAUAAAAAAAAUGAGAGGGUAAAUUAUGCAUUUGGCCUUUAUUAUAUAUAUACAUAAAAAUGUAUUACUUAUUAGAAAUAAAUGAAUUAGUUAUGAAAAAUAUGUACGUAAUCAAACUCUCACAUGAGUUGACUUUACUAACAGUUGUUAAGACAUGUUUUAAGUUACUUUUUCUAUUUUAGUGUGAUUGACUUUAUUUUUUCUUCAUUUUCGUGGGAUCGUUCCAUUGACGAUUAUUUUGUUAUGGAGUUUUCAAUAGUGCUAUUUUUUUUUAUAAAUAAUCGAUUUAAAAUAGUCAUUAAACGAAUGACAAAAGACAAAGAUAAAAAGCUCAAAAUGCAGUAGUUAUGCAUUAAAAAAGAAAAACAAAAUCUUGUUAAAUGUUAUUAUCCAUAUAUAUAUAUAUAUAUAUAUAUAUAUAUAUAUAUAUAUAUAUAUGUAAACAUUUACAAAAUCAAUGUUUUACCACCCACCAUUAAGCUUUUGUCGGUACUUCUAAACGAAUAUAAUCAUACAUAAUACCACUAAAAGGGCUUCCAUUUCUAGUCUGAGUAAGAUAAAUUGUAUUCUUUCCUUGGAUAAGUUGAGAAGCUGGUACUUGAAUGCUAUAGAACCAACAUAAACCAUGAAUUCCGUAUCUUGCAAUAGCAUUAUCCUUGCCUAUUAGCCUUGUUGUGAAAAGAGGUUGUUUGAGAUUGGCAUUGUUGAACCUCACCUUUUGUAUGCAUGAUAGAUUUUUCAUUAUUAAGUUUAAGAUAUAAGAAUAAUGAAAUUGCCAAGUAAAAAGCAAAUGAUAUACCUGAAGUUCAGAAUUAGUAGCUGAUGCCAAGGCUAUUUGCAAAGUGUAACUUCCACUUUGCAUUACACUUUUAAGUUCAAAUAUGAUCUGCCAUGUAGUUGCCUUAUAUGCCGUAUUUCCAACCUUUCUGCAAUUUGAAUAACCAAUCUCAAUAUAAUUAUAUGGUUUACUUCAAGAUAUGUGAUUUAAUUUUGUGUCAUAAUAGUAUAUUGUGAUAUAAAUUUUAUAAUAGUGUAGAGUUUACAAAUUAUCAUUGUUUGUAACUGACAGGAUAUUAUGAGGUACUAUUUUGAUACAAAAUUGAAUCACAUAUCCUGAAAUAAACUACAGAGUCUGAAGUAAAAACCCGAUGAAACCACAUGGUACAUUUUUGUACAUUUUUCUUAUUAUUAUUAUUAUACUUCAAGUAAAUUAAGGAUUGAGAGGAAAUAAAAUAGAUGUUAAUAAAUACCUGUUAACAUGGGCAAAGAACCAAUCUUUAGCAUAAUUACUAACACCAACGGUAUAUAUGAGAUCAUUCUUAGGAUAUAGAUCAGUAUAUCUUUCCCACAAUCCAUAUUGUCUAAAUCUGUACAGAAAAAAGCAAUAAUAAAAAAUGAUGCAUGAUAUUAACUUUGGAUGAAACAAGAAGGCAUGCAGCAAUGCGGAAGGGAGCUAACUUGUUUGCUGGGCUAUCAAUAUAUAAUUUGUUGACGAGUGUUGGGUUUGCGUCUGGUAUAUAGAAUUCAGAAGCAGUACGAUCAGGAAUGCCAAUUUCCCAAAGAGUUGGACCAUUUCUUGGAGGAUCAUAUGUAAGUACACCCAAUUUGAUCUCAGAUCCUGUAGUUCAACAUGUACAUAAUUUCAUCAAGUAAUUAAAGAAAAUUAGUCUAACCAUUUAUAAAACUACUAUAAGCUAUAAAUACCUGGUUGAAUAAUGACAUCAACAUUAUACUUGUAAUCUCCAAGAAAACCAGGAACAAAUGCAUAUAAACUAUAUUUCCCAGCUCUGAUAUUUUUAAUUGAGAAACUUCCUUUCUUGUCAGCUUGAGUCCAAAAUUGGUAACCCUAUAAGUAAAUUGAAAAACCAUAGCAAUGUUUAGCCAAGAAAUUCCUCAUGUCGCUAGAUAAUUUGAAAAUGAAAUUUCAAAUUUGUUGGAAUUUCUAACCUUUACUUCUGUUUGCCAUGAGCCCACAACACCUGGUGCUGCCAAUCCCACAUAAGCUAAACUUGCAUCAAUCAAUUUUUCAUUGAUGUAUGGGUCACGAACUACUAAUUGACCUACGACAUUUCCCCGUUGAUCAGAAGAAGGGAAAUCUUCAGAUCGAGGAAAAUUAUAUGGCCAGCUUUUAACUUCAGUUGACAUCUAAUAAUCAACAACAAGCAUGAGUACUCAAAAUUGCAUCCAAAAUUCUCAUGAACAAAAAGAAUGAAUAAACAAAUAGAUAUGUACUUGUCUUUUAGCAUCUUCCCAAAGGGCUUUGGGAUUUUCAGAAGGCGGAAUAGAAUUAAGAUAGACGUAAACAGGGCCAAAAACUUUCUUCCAUGGCUCUCCAUUUCGAUACUCUGCAUUUAAGUCCUUCCCAGCAUAAUGAACACUACCAAACAUCUAAAUAAAAAUAACUGAAUUACAAUUAAAAUAUAUUGGUGAUAUAAAAGAAUUUUGAAGGGAAAUGAACCUCUCAAUGUAAAAAUAUUGAGGCGUUCUACUUAUAAAUUGUUAACAAGUAGUGAAAAUUUUCAAAUGUCACAUACUCACAUUGAGAACAAUAGGCCCCACAUGAGAGGUUAGGUCUUGCUUGACGGGGCCAGCAUCGCGAAAUUCAUUACUAGGUGUGAUCAUCCAAAAUCCAACUGGUGGGUCAUUUGAUAUCCACCCAUGCACCUUGUUGUCUUUGUUCUCACAAGAGUACUGGUAUUUAUCAUCCACCUGCUCGUAUCAUUCCACAAUAUCAAUGAAUAAAAUAAUAAAUGAAGGUACAUAAUAAUAAGACGUUUCAAUUUUAUAAAUUCCUAAAAAAUUAAUUAGCAUUUAUUAUUUCCCUAUAACAUUUUCUUUGAUUUCUAACACAAUUUUCUUUCAAUUAUUUUACAUUUAAUCAAAACAUUUUGCAUAAGAAAUUAAAAUGAAGCUAUUAAUACUUAGGUCAAUCCGGUCCACAAAUACUCAAAAAAUACAAAGUGGGUCCCAUCUAUUGUUUUGCGAUGGGAUCUACUUAUUUAUGUCUUGUAAAUCUUUUGAAUCCAUAUUCCCAUAAUUAAUUACCUCUCCUUUUUGUUGAUGGUUGACUGGAUUUGUUAAACGAACAGCUUCAGGAUAGGCUAGAGGUUGGCCAGUGGUGCGAUCUUGAGGCAUUGGCAUUACUCUUUGUCUAUCAUCGGAUAUUGCCAUGUAGUGAAACCUGACCAUUAAUUUCAUAAAUAAAUGUUCUUGUGGCCUUCAAUUGAUUGAUAUAAAAUAAAUAAUGAUAAACAGUAUUGAUUAAUUCUUCAUUUACUUUUCACUUUGAAGUUUGAAAACCACUCUAAUUUGAUCCAUAUCAACAUCAGGCCACCCUUUUAAGCGUUCCAUUACAGCAUACAGAUAAAGCCCUGAGCUUCCACGUCGAACUAUGUACCUGCAAAGUUGAAAUUGGUGUGUAGAGAUCAGACUUUCAUUAACUUUGUUUAUUUCUUAUAAGGUGGAAAAAGUAUGCAAUGAACUAGGGCUCACCUUUUGUCUACCUUCAAGGGAACUGUGGUUUUAUCCAUUGAAGGGCUCCAUAUCUUAGAGAACGAAAUCUCUACUUGCUCUUCAUUUUGCACUAUAAUACUAAACUUUGUAGCUUGUACCCUAAAAAUUAUAGUAAUAAUUAAAACUUCGACUUGAAAAAAAAAAGUUUAACUAGAGUUUAUAAAGUAUUAAUUUAGAUAUGCAUUUACUUGUCAAAGAUGUUAGAAUCUCCAGGUCGGUUCCAUACCACAUCCCAGUAUCUAAACUCCAAGAAUUACUGACCACAAUUAGAAUUUAUAAUCACAAUGUAAUGAAUAAAUAGAAAUUGAUAAAGGAUUAAAUGCAUACCCUCGAUUAUCUUCAUAAUUCUUGGUUUCAAGUACGUUAUUUAUUUCUUUAUAUUUAAUUCUGAUAACAUCACCGCCUGGACUAGAGAAAGUGACUUGGACAAUUCCAUUAUCAAUCACCACCUUAUUUAAACAUAUUAAAUAAUUAAUUAAUUGCAUAGAAUAUGUCGGUAAUAAUAGAAUACAUCUAUGAUCUGGAGAUUUAUUAGUGACAAAUAAAAAAAAUAAGAUGUAAAAUUUAAGUAUAUUACUUGCUUAUUAGUUACUUGUAGCUGCACCCCAAGAGCUGAGCUCUUAUUAGUUGUACUUGGAAUUUUUCUGCGAAUAGAACAGUACGCAUGUUAUUCCUAAUAAGCUUAAUUACCUUACUUCUCUCUUCUUUGUCACCACAUGCUAGAAAAAAAAAAGUAGUAAUGAAAAUCACAAAGAAGAAAUGAAAUAAAGAGGAAGAUCAUGAGUAUGAACCUUGUUGGGAUCUUCGCAGAGGAAGCAAUAAGGAAGAAGAAGAAAAAGCAAAGACCGAUAGCAGGCCAGCUAGACCCAGCAAGCAAAUGUAUCUUGCCCAUUUUGUGUGGAGAAAUUCUAUAAAAUAUGAAGCAACGAAACAAGAAAUUAGAUAAUUCAAGAAACAUAAAAUUGAUCAAAGGAAAUUAUAACAAGAAAUAUAAGACAUACUUUGCUUAAUUGAUUUUCAAUACCAAAGGAAGUAUUAGAAAAGAAUGAAGACGAAGGAGUAUGAUAAAGAGUGGUGGUAUAAUUUUUUGUUUCACUCUCAAUACCCAUCAAUACUUAAUUUGGCACUUUUUAUAAUAUCAAGUUUAAGAGUACCAAGUCUAAUUACAAUAAAAAAUUUGAUGGGUACUAAACAUUUUUUAUUGCUAUUUGUUAUAAACAUCAAGCAUGACAAAAGAAAGAACCUCACUAUCACAACCACGCAACUGUCGAUCAAGGAAUAAACAAAAGAAAAGAAAAAGAAAAAAAUUCAAAACACCACUUAGAGGUGAAGAGGAGAACUCACACUGUGGGUAGGAAGGAGAAAAAGCUCCCCCUACCCGAAUAAGAUAAAAAGGAUUAGACAGUGUGGCAGAUGAUAGGGCUUAUUCCUCGGAAAAAAUAAGAGAAAAAUAAACAAAAGCACCUCUCUAUAAAUAAACUUUAGAGAGAGAUUCUUUUGAAUAAAUUUCUAGUUUGGAAUUGGCCAAUAGUACAAGAACUUAAGGUAGUUUUAAAAAGAGCAAUUAAGGCAUUAAAAUAUCUAACGUCUUCUAUUUAUUGUAUUUCUAUAUUAGGAUAGUUAUUUAUGGUGCUACAUUUGGAUUCUCUUUGUUUUAUUUGCUUGGUGUUGAUUUGAUAUAUUAAAAUAUUUUUUUACUUAUUAAAAAAUGAGCGGAGGAGGUAAAUGUUGGAGAUUACAUUCAUAGGCAGCCACACAAAAGAAAUCAAGAAGUAGAAAAACAAAAAGAAUAGAUUAAGAGAAAAUAUUAAAAAAAGGAAAAUGAGAGGUUUCCUAGAGAGAAUAAGCCUCUCUCUAGAUUUUAAAAAUAAUCAAACAUAAACUUUCGAAGAAAAAAUAAAUAGCAAAUUAAGGACAAGCAUGAAAAAACAAUAUAAAGCUAAUUUCACUUGUACUUAAUUAAAAUAUUUAUAAAAUCUUAUUAUAUUUAUAAAAAAGGUAUGUUAUGAAAAAUACUAAAAAUAUCUUAAUGAGAAAGUAGUUUAACAGGGUUGAAAAAGGAUAUUAAUGUCCAAUAAAUAGUGAUGUCAUUAUUUAGCUAGUGUUAAAUUUGGGCCAGAUUUAAUGGAGAGCUAAUUCACCUAAAAACUAAUUUAAAGGAGUGUCUAAUACUCUUAUAAGGAACAUAUUAUCUUUGUUUCAAACCGAUGUAGGAUUCAACAACUAAACAUGCAAGUAUGACUUGUACGACUAAAUCGUUAUAGGUUUAAACUUAGAAAUCAAAUCAUGCUAAAUUAAUUUGGUCUUUAGGUAUAUACAGUUCGAUUUGAUUUUAUUUUAAAGUUUUUUAUUUUUCAAUUUAGUUUAGUUAGUUUAAUGAAAAGGCUAAUCCAACCAAAUCCAUCGAAAUUUUAUGUUCUUACGUGGGUCAAGAUAUAUAAUUAAAUUUUAUAUGUUAUAAAUAUCCUAAAUAUUGAUUUUUCAAGUAGUUGUUUAUUAUUUAUUAUUUAAUUUUUCAUAUUAAAUUUUCAACUUAAUUAAGAUACUGACUUCAUUAAAAUAUAAAAAUUUCUAAAAAUUAUGGACAUUUUAAAAUAAUAAAAAUUUUAAAUUGUAAAAUAAAAUUUAAAAAUAUUUGCAACAUCUAAUUAUAAGAUUAUCUCAGAACAAUAACAAAAUUAUUGUUAUCUUCUUGUUUUUUUUUUUUUUCUUAAAGACAUAAUUUAGGAGAUGAUGGUUGUAAUAAUUUAUUAUAAAAAGUUUAGUUAACAAAGAUUUAUUAUAAUUAAAUUAACUCAAAAAUUAUACUAUUUUGUAUUUUUAAUUAAUAAAAUUUUAGUAAAAUAUAUUUAUAAUAUUUUAACUGUAAAAAUAAUAAAUAUGGUUUAAUAUUUAAAAAAAAUUAUAAUUAUUAAAAUAAUAAAUUAUCAUUUUUAUAGUUUGUUCAUAAUGAUCCAAAAAUUCUAUGCCGAUGUUUAUCUCAAACUAAUAACAAAAAAUUAUACAUUUUAUCCCUGUUUUUGCAAGGAAACUCAUUUCCUAUAUUUCUUGGAUUAUUAUUGAUUCUAGAGCUUCUUUUUUUUUCCUUUUCUUGUCACCUUAAAGUUUGAUCGUAAUCAAUUUAAUGUGAGAAUUGCAAUUUAUGAGGGCGCAAUAUCAGUACUAAAUAGAUUUAUUUAGAUUAGAUUUAUAAAAAUUUAUAGUGUAAAAUUAUAGUGAAGUGAUAGAUGUCAAAAUCACAAAAAAUAAUCUAUCUAAAUCUAAUCAAAUAUAAGUUGUGUAUAUGGCAAAUAGAAUUAUCUACAAGUAAUUAACACUAAAAACUCCAAUUAAUAAUUAGAAAAAGUAAGUAAAUAAGUAAAAGGAGGGGUUUUGAUGAAAAAUGAAAUUAAAAAAAUAAUAAUCAAGAGAAAAUCAAAUUAAUGCAAAUAAAUUCUAAUUCAUUCUAAUAAAUUAGUUCUAGUUAUGGAAAACACUCCUCAUAAUCAAUAUCUGUAAAUUAAUUAGAAAACAUUCGCUAAUUAACUCUAAUCAAUAAAUAAUCCAAAAAAUGUCUAUUGGAUUUAAUUUAUUAACUGCUUUAAGAAAAUAGAGACCCAAUUCUAACCAAUAAACCAAAUCACGUAGUGGGUUCAAACUAGAUCAUGUAAUUCCUUAGUGAGGAACACUAAUUGUUAGUUAUUGUUGAAUAAUUCAAACAAUUACAACAUUCAAGCAUCCAAACUAAUAAUGUAUUAUCUUAAAAAUAUGAACAUCGGGCCAUAUUGAUCAAUUAACAAGGCAAUAUUAAUAAUAAGAACUAAAAUUGCAUAAAAAUUGAAAAAAUAAAAGAUGAACAAUAAUGUUUAAAUCUCACACUUCAUGAAGAAAUUGAAACUUCAACUUUUCUUCAACUAAAAUUAAAAAAAUUAGUCGCACAUGACUGAAAGAAAACACAAAAUAAUGAAAAAAAUUCGGCUGGAAGAGAGAUGAUGUGGUGCUGUCACCCAGCAAAAUAUUUAUAGCAGCUAAAUCCUGGCAGAACCCUCACCAAACUUUCCUAAAGAUUUUGAUUUGAAUUACUUUAAUGAGAGAUCUUUUAAUUUAUUUCCUUGAGGAGAGAUUCCUUGAUUUUUGGAAGAGAUCAUGCCGCACUUAAGGAGUGAAAUCACGUGAGAUUCUGCAGCUUUAAAUAAGGAGAUAAGAUUUUCCUUGUAAAUCUGAGUCAAUCACGCUUUUUGUUGUGGACUGGCAAUGUGGCAGGAGGUUUGGGCAUGUCUCUGAUCCACUAUUGAUUGGGUCAUGUGCCCUUCUGUUCAGAGCUCUAAGCAAAUUUUGACUCUGACAAAACAAGAUCAGCUAGCAUGUUUGCCCAAAUUGCUGAUCAAGACUUAUUCAGCAAAUUUUCUCGGAAUGUUCAUUAAAUCAGUUAUUUCUAUACUUUUCUGUGAAAGUACGUCAAAAGGUAUAAGAUUAAUCAGAAAAUACUCAAAUCAGUACUAAAAAUAGAACAGAAUGUAUGCUAAAAUUAUGCCUUAUUAUAAAGUUUACAUAAAACUGCAUCUAUUUAUAUCACGUGUUCAUAUAGACUCAAUCUAAACAAUGUAAUAAACACUGCUAUAAGACAAGAUAAAGAGUCAUAUGUUGAUAGCGCUGAGUUCUAUAAUAUUUUAAGACCGUUAAUUAGUUUUAUUAAUUAUAGCUAAGCAGGUUUAGUUAGUUAAAUUAACUCCUGAAAUACAUGUUCUUUUAUUAGUUGGUUAGUCCUCUAACUCUAUUUAUCUGCCUUGCAUACGAAUUUCUAUACUAUAUAUACAGUUAAAAAAAGGCAAAAUAUUAGGAUGGUCGAUUAUGUCUCUCUGUUAUUUAUUUGUUUAUCAUGUUUUAAAUUUACAAAUAAAUAAUAAUUUUAUUAUUUAAAUAAUUAUAAAUUAAUAAAUUAUUCAUAUAUCUUCUAAAAUGAUUUAUGUUUAUAUUUCUUAUUUAUGAGUUUAAUUAAUUUAAUUAAGUAAUUAUGUAGGAUAAUUAUUAAAAAUUAAUAAUUUUGAUAAUAUUUAAAUUAAAAUUUUUGAGAUAAGAUUAUUAAAAUAAUAAAUUUAAAUAUUAAUUAAAAACAUUAAAAUAAUUAUCAUAAUAUCAUAUAUUAGGUUUAAAUUGUUAAUUUUUUUGUUUAAUAAAUUUUAUUUUGUUAAUUAAUUAAUAUUUAAAUAUACUUUAAUAAUUAUUAUGUUAAAUUUUUAACCUUGAUGUGGUUUCUACAUUUAAAAUUUUGAUAGUUUUUAACAUAUCUACCAUUAAAUGUAUAGGUUUUGAUUCAUAUAUAUAUAUAUAUAUAAUUAGAACAAUUAAAAUUUUUAGAUAUGAUUAUUAAAAUAACAAACUUAAAUAUUAUUUAAAAACAUCAAACAUAAUUAUCAUAAUAUUAAAAAAUUAAAUAAUAAGUUCAAAUUUAAAAAAUAAAUAUUAUAAAAUAUACAAAAUAAUUAUCAACAAAGUAACGAUUAAAAAAACAAAAUAGUAAAGUGAUUAUCUUAAUUUAAUUAUUAAUAUUUUAUUAUUAUUUUAAAUACAAAAAUAUAUAUUGAAGUAGUACAAACUCAAUAGGAGGCUAAUCUCAUAUAUUUUAAAAUUUUAGUAAAUAUAUUAAAAAAUUUCAAACAAAUCAUUUCUUCUAUAAAAGAUAUUUAACAGUUUAAUUUCGAAAAUAUUUAAAUAAAAUAUUAAAAUUUAUUAUAAUAUUGAGAUUAUAGUUCAAGUGCAUUAAGAUGCACCCUCUACUCCAUGUAAAAAGCCGCAAAAUAUGGUGUGAAAACUCUAAAGAAACUCUUUGAUAGUUUCUAAAGUUGCAAAUUUAGAGUUUUAUUUGGUAGAAGUAAACAGGAUGAAUGAAUAUGAAUGAAUAUAUAUAUAUAAAGUUAAACUUGAAACAAAGAUACAACAAUAAUUAUAGAAUAUAAACAUAAUUUAUAUAAAUUUAUUAGUAAUGCAAACAUAAUUUAUGUAAACUUGAUGAGCUACAAAACUCACUACUUUUUCCUUAUUAAAUUCUAUGAUUUUGUUAUAAUUUUUAUAUAAAUAAUUAAUUUUUACUUCAAAUUUGAUUUUGGACAGGUUUUUGAGAAAAAUUAAGAAAAUGAAUGAAAAAAGACUGAAUCAGGAGAUUUUCGGACUAGGGGUUAUAGCUUUGGACAAGACUGUAGCCUAAGGCAAUGGAUAGCUCCAAAAUUCAAAAUUUCGCCAACUCAUCAUGAUUUUUUCAGUACAGAGAUAAGAUCAGUUUCAUGUUGGAGCAAACAUAAUUAGAUUAGGAUGAGAAUAAGAUAGGAGUAGUAGAAUUUAUUUUAAAUUGUGAAUAUUUAUAUUUUUGUUGGGGAAAAUCCUAUAUAAAGGCUGCUCAAAAUUAACCUAGAUAUAUCAUAAUUUAUUUUCUCCUUUUCUUAUUUUAUAUUCGGCCGCUUCACUUGACGCCCCCUUCUUCUUCUCUUUUCUUUAAUUUUUUUAAUUUUAUUAUGGCUUUUAGAGGCUGAACAAUUCUUUUCAAUUGAAGGUUAAUCCAAAUUGAGAUUUUAUUUAAGUUGUGAGAUUAUGUGCUUAAAUUCUCUUCAUCUUAUUUCUAUUUUCUAUUAAUUUUUGAUUUACGAGAACACCACCUCCAUUGUUGUCCUCUUAGGAAUUCAAGAGGCCUAUUGGAUCUCUUGGAAAUAUAACAUAUUGCUAAUUAACCCAAUUAAAUCCGUAAUUAUUUAAUUAGAUUAAUAACAAGUAGCAAUUAGUGUAUUCAUUUAUGUUAAAGAAUUAGUAGAUUUGAUUUAAAUAAUUUGCGUGUUAUUAUUGAUCAAAUUUAGGUUCUUCUCUCUUAAAGCAGUUAACUAAUUAAAUUUAUAUGCGUGUUGGGGUUGUUAGUUAACUAUGAAUUAAUUUAAGCGCAAAACGAAUUAAUUUAAUCAUAAGGAAGAACUAGUGGGAUUUGCAUAUUUAACCACUAUAACCAAACAAUAGAUAAUAAAAUGAAUUAUUUUUUCUAAUCAAUGAUCAACUACCAAACCCUUCAAUUCGAUUACGUUUAGCUGAAUUUAAUUUAAUUAUUUAUUUUACCAUCUCAAUUGCAUUGUUUGUUUUUCUUUUAAGUUUUUUUGGUUUACCCAAUGUACAAUCAAUUUCUUCAAACAACAAUUCACUUCUUCUCUCUUUUUGUUUUAAACUAUUCUUCUUGUUCAACUAGACAUCUAAAUUAAACAGAGUUAAGGUCUCUGUGGAAUCGAUACUCACUUACCCUAUAUACAAAUUCAUAUUGAAUCAAGAAAAGUGAGAUAAGUUUUAAUUGACAGAUUCAACACCUGUCCAAUUUUGGCGCCGUUGCCGGAGACCUUUAAUAGUUUAUUUUUAUUUUUAUGACAAGGUCUGAAAAUCGCAGAAUUCAGUUUGAUCCAAAAAUUGAGAAGACUGCAAAAAGGUUGAGAAAAGCAACCAAGUUGUAAAAACACGCCAAUUUGGGAGCCUCUCAACCACCUGCCCGAUCACCUCUACCAGCCGAAAACACCACGUCUUCAACCGAGUCUCUAAUUGACACCAACCAAAGAGACACUAUGGCCGCAGCUGCCGCUGAAGAACAAUCCUUUUGUAUCACAUACAUAGUCUUAAACGCACCCUUGAAAUUGCGAACAGGUAUGAUUCAUAUGUUAUCAAAAUUUCAAGGGUUGGAAAAUAAAGACACCGUCGUCAUCUGAAAGAGUUUUAUGUGGUUUGUUCCAGUAUGAGACCACAGAGUAUAACUGACGAGCAAAUAAGGUUAGAGACUUUGAUACGGAUCCAAAAGGGCAAAUUUCUAACAAUGGUGUGGAGCAAACUUAUGUCAUUCAAAUGGAUCUAAAAGGAGUUCAAAAUCAUAUUCAUAUGAUCAAUAUAUAUUUGAGGCUUAUGCCAUAGGGUUCCGCGUCAGUUGGUAUCAAAGCCAAAGUGAGGUAAAUUCUUAUUUAUCUCAGGAUCUAGAGUUUUUUUUCUUAGUUUUCCUUUUCUUCGUGAUUGAUUUCGGUGAAAGCUUUUGUGUUCAUGGCUGCACCUUCUUGAUCAUUAAUCACCAAAAAAAAAAAUGAAAAAAAAAUCGCCUUUGCCAUAUUUAUCUUGAUCUGGCCGAAAUUGUGAUAUGCUUCCUUUUUCAUCCAUAUUUCCUUAUCUAUCUCAAUUGAUUGCUGUAGUUUAUGGAAAUCAAUUUUGAAUUGGGUUGAAUCCAGAUUAGGAGACAAAAGAAAUCUGCCUAUUUCUUAAGGUGCACAUUUAAGGCAACUGCAUCUAAAUCGAUUUGGUGUCAAAUCCAUCUUUUAAUGCCCAUUUUCGUCCAUGAUGCUGCACUGAGUGAGAUUUUUUUUUUAGUCUAUUUGUGGGGUUUUAAUACUUGCCUUUUUGGGUAGAUUUAAAUAGAUCCGUAUUUAAUUUGCGUUGAAGCGAAUUAAAAUUCAAACUUUUGUCCAGAUUCGCUUUUAUUUGAAUUCAGAGUUUCGUUUUUGCUUUAAGCUUGCUUUUACUUCCUUGACAUUGCUGGAGUAUUGUUUGCUUGGAUCUAUACUCUAGGUAAUAUUUUUCAAGUAGCACAAAGCCUAGUUCGUGUGUUACUUUCCAAAUUGUCAGUGUUUUCUUUCUUUUUUUUUUUUUGCGCGCUUCCUUCUUUCUUUAGGUUUUCUUCUUUGUUUCAUUAAACGCACCUUGUGGUUGGUUGGUUGACCUUAGUUUCUGAAGUGUAAUUGAAGAAUCAACAAAAGAAUGGUAAGAGUGCAAACACUUGAGUACUUUUUUUUAACACAAUAUUUGCUAGUUCUUUUUGUUCUUUGUUGAUUUAAGGUAGGACGAGUAAAGACAAGAAUGUGGUACAUCGUACUGAUGGAAGUGAAUCGAAUUUGGGUAAUGAUUAUAAGCUCUUUAAGAAGUCAGUCAGUGGUGAGUUACAAAGGCUCAAUAAGACUCUUGAGAGGUUGACUGAAACUAUGGAGAGUUUGAAUGUCUCACAAGCUUCUACUUCUACAAGAAUACCUCAAAAAACUCCUAAUUGCAAUAAUGACUGUGAUGAUUCGGAUGUGUUGGUUAAUAAUGUGUUGCUUGCUGCACAUUGUGAGAUGCUUGUUGCUAGGCGUGCUCUGAAUAUGCAGGUUAAGGAAGAAAGCCUAGAACAACGGGAAAACAUAUUUCACACUAGGUGUUUGGUUAAUGGAAAAUUGUGUACUCUCAUUAUUGAUGGAGGUAGUUGCACAAAUGUGGCUAGUGUGUAUAUGGUGGAAAAAUUGGGCUUGGGUUCUAUUAAACACCCUAAGGCAUAUAGAUUGCAAUGGUUGAAUGAUUGUGGAGAGGUUAGGGUUACACGCCAGGUUGUUAUACCAUUUUCUAUUGGUAGGUACAAGGAUGAGAUCUUAUGUGAUGUGGUACCUAUGCAGGCAAGCCAUAUGUUGUUGGGUAAACCGUGGCAACAUGAUAGAAAGGUGCAACAUGAUGGGUUCAAUAACAAGUACUCCUUCACUCAUGAAGGACAGAAGGUUAUACUCGCUCCUUUAUCACCUCAAGAGGCAUAUGUUGAUCAAAUAAAGAUGCUGGAGAGGGAGAGGGAGGCUUCGGCCUUGGCCACAAAGGGGAGUGAGAGCUUGAAUUCUGCGGAAACGAUGAGAGAAAAGAGUGAGUUUGAGGGUAAAGAGGCUGUAAAAGAAUUAAGACUAGUUCAAGGAGGGAAGGUGGAGAAAGAAAAGGAGAAAGAAGAGGCUAAAGUUCCAAUCUCAACUUCCAUAGAGAUUGAAAUUAAAGAGGAAGUUGUAAUGCAUGAAUCUAAUGUAGUUGCUGUUGGGAAUUCCAUCAAUGAACUUAUAGAAGAGGUUGUGAAUGAUGAGGGACAUGGGGAGCAUGUGAUUGAUGAGGUGGAGGAGGUGAAUGAGACUGUUUUGAAAGUUGUAGAGGAGAAUGGGUCACAUCCACAGGAUCUUUUUAUGACUAAUAUUUUUAUGCCUAGUUCAUUUGUUCUUGAUGUGCAGAUUGUUGAUGAAAGCAUUCAUGACGAAAGUUUUAUCCUAUUUUCACCUAUUCAAAAGGAGGUCUUUGAAGAUACAUGGGUUCCUAAAGCUUCCCUUUUUGACAUAAAUAUCAGCAAGAUUCGAGGACGAAUAUUUUCUAAAGAAGGAGAGAAUGAUACGGAUCCAAAAGGGCAAAUUUCUAACAAUGGUGUGAAGCAAACUUAUGUCAUUCAAAUGGAUCUAAAAGGAGUUCAAAAUCAUAUUUAUAUGAUCCAUAUAUAUUUGGAGCGUGCUUCAACUCAUAUCGGACAGAUUUGGUGCAACACUUACAAUCAUAGUCUUAGGGAGCCUAAUCAAACCUAUAGGCUAAAACUACACAAAGGGAAGCCUAAAGUGAAGAUCAAGUAAGGCUUUUGUGAAGAUUCAGUUUUGUUAUGAUGGAAGGUUUUAGAUGAGAAUCUGACAAAUGCCACAAUGAAUAGUUGAUAAGUAGGCCAAGAUUCCUGGUGCAAUUGAUGAAAGCAAAUCCUCACUCUCACUCAAAGCAAUAUAUGCCAAAGGCAUGAAAAUAAUUCUGAAAAUUUGAUUAAAAGUUGCCUCUUACAAUUGUUUCUUAUCCUUAUAUAGUAAGGAGAAAAUCAAAUAAAACCCUAAGACACUCUUCUUGGGUCUGACUUAAACACCUAAGGUCCAAGCCUAAUCACACACUAAAAUAACACAUAAGUAUUAAAACAUAAGCUCAAAACAUGGCCCAACACUCUAAAACUUAAAAGAUAAAGUAUGGCCAGAAUACAAGCCCAAACAAAGCUAAAAUAAAACAAGUGUUAAAUAAUAAAAAAUAUAGCAAGCCCAUCAUAGCAAAACUGGAUCUUCACAAAAGCCUUACUUGAUCUUCAUUUUAGGCUUCCCUUUGUGUAUUUUAGCCCAUAGGUUUGAUUAGGCUCCCUAAGACUAUGAUUGCGAGUGUUGCACCAAAUCUGUCCCAUAUGAGUUGAAGCACGCCCCAAAUAUAUAUGGAUCAUAUGAAUAUGAUUUUGAACUCCUUUAGAUCCAUUUGAAUGACAUAAGUUUGCUCCACACCAUUGUUAGAAAUUUGCCCUAUUGGAUCCGUAUCAGACUUACUCUUAGAAAGAUUUUUUUCAGCAACUAAAGUAUCAUCUAUAAGAAAAGAAACAAGUGAAAUCAAACAAAGAAAAACUAAAACUCUACAUAAAUAUUGGGAACAUUUUAAUAAAUUAAUUGCAAGUUGUCCAAAAUAUGGAAUCACUCCAAAAUAACUCAACUUUCACUUCUAUGAAGGACUUGUGCCAUUAGAAAGGAGAAUAAUAAAUGCUGCUAGUGGAGGAGCCAUUGCAAAAAUAAAACCUGAAGAAAGUAAAACUUUAAUCUCAAAAUUGGCUGUCAACUCUAGACAAUAUUGCCGAGAUGAGGACAAUCCUAGGAAUGCGAAUGAGGUAAGUAUUGCAUCUUUAGAUUCUAAAAUUUCACAACUUACCAUUGCAAUUCAACAAUUGGCUGCAGGAAAUAAUAUAUGAAUUUGUGGUAUUUUGACACGGAACCCUAUGGCACAAGUCUCAAACCCACACGCACAAGUAGAUAUGGAAUCCAAAGAUUUGAUAAACCCACCUCCUAUGGCACCCCACACUUAGAGAAGCUGAAACACCAAUUAUCGAAGGAUUUAGAUGAGAAUNNNNNNNNNNNNNNNNNNNNNNNNNNNNNNNNNNNNNNNNNNNNNNNNNNNNNNNNNNNNNNNNNNNNNNNNNNNNNNNNNNNNNNNNNNNNNNNNNNNNNNNNNNNNNNNNNNNNNNNNNNNNNNNNNNNNNNNNNNNNNNNNNNNNNNNNNNNNNNNNNNNNNNNNNNNNNNNNNNNNNNNNNNNNNNNNNNNNNNNNNNNNNNNNNNNNNNNNNNNNNNNNNNNNNNNNNNNNNNNNNNNNNNNNNNNNNNNNNNNNNNNNNNNNNNNNNNNNNNNNNNNNNNNNNNNNNNNNNNNNNNNNNNNNNNNNNNNNNNNNNNNNNNNNNNNNNNNNNNNNNNNNNNNNNNNNNNNNNNNNNNNNNNNNNNNNNNNNNNNNNNNNNNNNNNNNNNNNNNNNNNNNNNNNNNNNNNNNNNNNNNNNNNNNNNNNNNNNNNNNNNNNNNNNNNNNNNNNNNNNNNNNNNNNNNNNNNNNNNNNNNNNNNNNNNNNNNNNNNNNNNNNNNNNNNNNNNNNNNNNNNNNNNNNNNNNNNNNNNNNNNNNNNNNNNNNNNNNNNNNNNNNNNNNNNNNNNNNNNNNNNNNNNNNNNNNGUAAAUGCCAUUGGAGAAUUUAAUGGACAAUAGAGGAAGUAUGACUCGUUUUCAAGCACCUAGAAUCCAGGGUAGAGAGAUCAUCCAAACCUUAGCUAUGGAAAUAGAUAGCAAAACUACCAGCCAAGAGCAAACUGUCAAGCUGCAAAAUCAGGUAUGUCUUUAGAAGACAUUGUUCAAUCCCUUGCUAAUAGCACUCUUGCUUUUCAACAGAAAAUGAAAUCGAGCAUACGGAAUUUGGAGAAUCAAAUGAGCCAACUUGCUACAUCAGUGAGCAAGCUGGAAUCUUAAAGGAAACUGUCCUCCCAAAAAGUGCCAAAUCCAAAACAGAAUACAAGCACGAUUACGUUGCGAAGCGGGAAGGAGUUGGAAUCUGCCAACCCGAAAAGGGUUGUCCAAGGUAGUACAACAAACCUGAUGCCAGAAAUAGAAAUAAAAAUUCUAGCAGAGAAUCAGCCUAAAAAAUCAGAGGUAGAACAACUCCCAAUUCAGGUAAUAUGUCCUCCUUUUCCUGAAAGACUUGCUCAUUUAAAAAGGGAAGAGGAAGAAAAAGAGAUCUUGGAGAUUUUUUGCAAAAUCCAGGUGAACAUAGCCCUUCUUGAAAUAAUAAAAUAAAUACCCAGGUAUGCAAAAUUUCUAAAAGACUUUUGCACUAAUAAAAGAAAAUUGUAUAGACAUGAAAAGAUUAAAGUGGGGAGAAUGUGUCAGCUGUACUUUAAAGAAAGUUUCAUAAAAAUGUAAAGAUAAAGGCAUGUUUGCAAUAUCAUAUAAAGUUGAAAACUUUGAAGUCAAGAAGGCAAUGUGUGAUUUAGGAGCUUUCAUAAAUUUUAUGCCUCUAUCUAUUUAUUUCUCUUUGGAUGCAGGUCUUUCGAAACAAAUAGGAAUCACACUCCAACUCGCCGAUAGAUCAAUAGUUUAUCCUAAAGGCGUGUUGGAGGAUGUUUUGGUCCAAGUGGGGAAAUUGAUUUUCCCACCUGACUUCUUUGUCUUGGACAUGGAAGAUAAUACUUCAUCCAACUUUACAGAUUUAUUACUAGGUGACGCGGAACCCUAUGGCACAAGCCUCAAACCCACACGCAGAAGUAGAUAUGGAAUGCAAAGGUUUGAUAAACCCAAGUCCUAUGGCACCCCAGACUUAGAGAAGCUGAAACACCAAUGAUCAAAGGAUUUAGAUGCGAAUCUGACAAACGCCACAACGAAUAGUUGAUAAGUAAGCCAAGAUUCCUGGUACAAUUGAUGAAAGCAAAUCCUCACUCAAAGCAAUACACGCCAAAUGCAUGAGAAGAAUUCUGAAAUUUUGAUUAAAAGCUGCCUCUUACAAUUGUUUUUUAUCCUUAUAUAGUAAGGAGAAAAACAAAUAAAACCCUAAGCCACUCUUCUUGGACCUGAAUUAAACACAUAAGGCCCAAGCCCAAUCACACACUAAAAUAACACAUAAGUAUUAAAACAUAAGCCCAAAACAUGGCCCAACACUCUAAAACUUAAAAGAUAAAGUAUGGCCAGAAUACAAGCCCAAACAAAGCAAAAAUAAAACAAGUGUUAAAUAAUAAAAAUAUAGUAAGCCCAUCAUAACAAAGCUGAAUCUUCACAAAAGCCUUACUUGAUCUUCACUUUAGGCUUCCCUUUGUGUAGUUUUAGCCCAUAGGUUUGAUUAGGCUCCCUAAGACUAUGAUUGUAAGUGUUGCACCAAAUCUGUCCCAUAUGAGUUGAAGCACGCCCCAAAUAUAUAUGGAUCAUAUGAAUAUGAUUUUGAACUCCUUUUAGAUCCAUUUGAAUGACAUAAGUUUGCUCCACAUCAUUGUUAGAAAUUAGCCCUAUUGAAUCCGUAUCAUUCUCUCCUUCUUUAGAAAAGAUUCGUCCUCGAAUCUUGCUAAUAUUUAUGUCAAAAAGGGAAGCUUUAGGAACCCAUGUGUCUUCAAAGACCUCCUUUUGAAUAGGUGGAAAUAGGAUAAAACUUUCGUCAUGAAUGUUUUCAUCAACAACCUGCAUAUCAAGAGCAAAUGCACUAGGCAUAAAAAUAUUAGUCAUAGAAAGAUCUCGUGGAUGUGACCCAUUCUCCUCUACAACUUCCAAAACAGUCUCAUUCACCUCCUCCACCUCAUCAAUCACGUGCUCCCCAUGUCCCUCAUCAUUCACAACCUCUUCUAUAAGUUCAUUGAUGGAAUUCUCAACAACAACUACAUUAGAUUCAUGCAUUACAACUUCCUCUUCAAUUUCAAUCUCUAUGGAAGUUGAGAUUGGAACUUUAGCCUCUUCUUUCUCCUUUUCUUUCUCCACCUUCCCUCCUUGAACUAGUCUUGAUUCUUUCCCAGCCUCUUUACCCUCAAACUCACUCUUUUCUAUCAUCUUUUCCGCAGAAUUCAAGCUCUCACUCCCCUUUGUGGCCAAGGCCGAAGCCUCCUUCUCCCUCUCCAGCAUCUUUAUUUGAUCAACAUAUACCUCUUGAGGUGAUAAAGGAGCGAGUAUAACCUUCUGUCCUGUAUAAGUGAAGGAGUACUUGUUAUUGAACCCAUCAUGUUGCACCUUUCUAUCAUGUUGCUACGGUCUACCCAACAACAUAUGGCUUGCCUGCAUAGGUACGACAUCACACAAGAUCUCAUCCUUGUACCUACCAAUAGAAAAUGGUAUAACCACCUGGCGUGUAACCCUAACCUCUCCACAAUCAUUCAACCAUUGCAAUCUAUAUGGCUUAGGGUGUUUAAUAGAAGCCAAGCCCAAUUUUUCCACUAUAUACACACUAGCCACAUUUGUGCAACUACCUCCAUCAAUAAUGAGAGUACACACUUUUCCAUUAAUCAAACACCUAGUGUGAAAUAUGUUUUCCCAUUGUUCUAGGCUUUCUUCCUUAACCUGCAUAUUCAGAGCACGCCUAGCAACAAGCAUCUCACAAUGUGCAGCAAGCAACGCAUUAUUAACCAACACAUCCGAAUCAUCACUGUCAUUAUUGAUAUUAGGAGUUUUUUGAGGUAUUCUUGUAGAAGUGGAAGCUUGUGAGACAUUCAAACUCUCCAUAGUUUCAGUCAACCUCUCAAGAGUCUUAUUGAGCCUUUGUAACUCACCACUGACUGACUUCUUAAAGAGCUUAUAAUCGUUACCCAUAUUCGAUUCACUUCCAUCAGUACGAUCCACCACAUUCUUGUCUUUACUCAUCCUACCUUAAAUCAACAUAGAACAAAAAGAACUAGCAGAUAUUGUGUUAAAAAAAGUACUCAAGUGUUUGCACUCUUACCAUUCUUUUGCUGAUUCUUCAAUUGCACUUCAGAAACUAAUGUCAACCAACUAACCACAAGGUGCAUUUAAUGAAACAAAGAAGAAAUCCUAAAGAAAGAAGGAAGCGCGCAAAAACUAGAAAGAAGACACUGACAAUUUGGGAAGUAACACAAGAAUUAGGCUUUGUGCUACUUGAAAAAUAUUACCUAGAGUAUAGACCCAAGCAAACAAUACUCCAGCAAUAUCAAGGAAUUAAAAGCAAGUUUAAACUAAAAAAAGAAACUUAGAAAUCAAAUAAAAACGAACUUGGAAAAAAAAUUUGCAUUUAAUUCACUUCAACGCAAAUUAAAUAUGGAUCUACUUAAAUCUACCCAAAAAGGAAAGUAUCAAAACCCCACAAAUAGAAUCAGAAAGAAAAAUCUAAAUUUCACUCAGAUCAGAAACAUGGACGAAAAUUCUGAUUUUAAAAGAAGGAUUUGACAUCAAAUCGAUUUAAAUGCAGUUGCCUUAAAUGUGCACCUUAAGGAAUAGGCAGAUUUCUUUUGUCUCCUAAUUUGGAUUCAACCCAAUUCAAAAUUCAAAAUUGAUUCCCAUAAAUUACAGCAAUCAAUUGAGAUAGGUAAGGAAAUAUAGAUGAAAAAGAAAGCAUAUCACAAUUUCGGCCAGAUCAAGAUAAAUAUGGCAAAGGUGAUUUUUUUUUUCGUUUUUCUUUUUUUUUUUGGAUUUUGAAUUUUUCUUUCAAAAGGGAUUAUAUGAUAAUUUAUCAAGAAGGUGCAGCCAUGAAUACAAAAUCUUUCACCGAAAUCAAUAACGAAGAAAAGAAAACUAAAAAAAAACUCUAGAUCCUGAGAUAAAUAAGAAUUUACCUCACUUUGGCUCUGAUACCAACUGACGAGGAACCCUAUGGCACAAGCCUCAAACCCACACGUAGAAGUAGAUAUGGAAUCCAAAGCUUUGAUAAACCCAAGUCCUAUGGCACCCCAAACUUAGAGAAGCUGAAACACCAAUGAUCGAAAGAUUUAGAUGCGAAUCUGACAAACGCCACAACGAAUAGUUGAUAAGUAAGCCAAGAUUCCUGGUGCAAUUGAUGAAAGCAAAUCCUCACUCUCACUCAAAGCAAUACACGCCAAAGGCAUGAGAAGAAUUCUGAAAUUUUGAUUAAAAGCUGCCUCUUACAAUUGUUUCUUAUCCUUAUAUAGUAAGGAGAAAAACAAAUAAAACCCUAAGACACUCUUCUUGGACCUGACUUAAAUACAUACGGCCCAAGCCCAAUCACACACUAAAAUAACACAUAAGUAUUAAAACAUAAGCCCAAAACAUGGCCCAACACUCUAAAACUUAAAAGAUAAAGUAUGGCCAAAAUACAAGCCCAAACAAAGCUAAAAUAAAAUAAGUGUUAAAUAAUAAAAAUAUAGCAAGCCCAUCAUAAUAAAGCUGAAUCUUCCCAAAAGUCUUACUUGAUCUUCACUUUAAGCUUCCCUUUGUGUAGUUUUAGCCCAUAGGUUUGAUUAGGCUCCCUAAGCCUAUGAUUGCAAGUGUUGCACCAAAUCUGUCCCAUAUGAGUUGAAGCACGCCCCAAAUAUAUAUGGAUCAUAUGAAUAUGAUUUUGAACUCCUUUUAGAUCCAUUUGAAUGACAUAAUUUUGCUCCACAUCAUUGUUAGAAAUUUGCUCUAUUGAAUCCGUAUCAUUCUCUCAUUCUUUAGAAAAGAUUUAUCCUCGAAUCUUGCUGAUAUUUAUGUCAAAAAGGGAAGCUUUAGGAACCCAUGUAUCUUCAAAGACCUCCUUUUGAAUAGGUGGAAAUAGGAUAAAACUUUCGUCAUGAAUGUUUUCAUCAACAACCCGCAUAUCAAGAGCAAAUGCACUAGGCAUAAAAAUAUUAGUCAUAGAAAGAUCUCGUGGAUGUGACCCAUUCUCCUCUACAACUUUCAAAACAGUCUCAUUCACCUCCUCCACCUCAUCAAUCACGUGUUCCUCAUCUUUCACAACCUCUUCUAUAAGUUCAUUGAUGGAAUUCUCAACAACAACUAUAUUAGAUUCAUGCAUUACAACUUUCUCUUCAAUUUCAAUCUCUAUAGAAGUUGAAAUUGGAACUUUAGCCUCUUCUUUCUCCUUUUCUUUCUCCACCUUCCCUCCUUGAACUAGUCUUGAUUCCUUUCCAGCCUCUUUACCCUCAAACUCACUCUUUUCUCUCAUCUUUUCCGCAGAAUUCAAGCUCUCACUCCCCUUUGUGGCCAAGGCCGAAGCCUCCCUCUCCCUCUCCAGCAUCUUUAUUUGAUCAACAUAUACCUCUUGAGGUGAUAAAGGAGCGAGUAUAACCUUCUGUCCUUCAUGAGUGAAGGAGUACUUGUUAUUGAAUCCAUCAUGUUGCACCUUUCUAUCAUGUUGCCACGAUCUACCCAACAACAUAUGGCUUGCCUGCAUAGGUACGACAUCACACAAGAUCUCAUCCAUGUACCUACCAAUAGAAAAUAGUAUAACCACCUGGCGUGUAACCCUAAUGUCUCCACAAUCAUUGAACAAGGAAACUCAUACAUAGUUUGAAGAAGCACAAAAUGGCUUUGAAACAUUAAAGAAGGCUUUAACUUCUACUUUAGUCCCUUCACUGCCAUAUUUCACCAAAGUAUUUGUUAUGGAAAGUAAUGGACAUCCCACAGCUUUUAUUAGCAAAGUCGUAUCUCCCAAAAAUGCAAGCUUAUCUGUUUAUGAAAGGGAACUGCUAUUUGUUUUAUUUGCUCUCAAACAGUGGGAACACUACCUGUAGUAGAGGCAUUUCGUUAUCAAAAUUGAUUAUAAGAGUUUGAAAUACUUAUUGGAAUAGAAGAUCUAUACUCAUACUCAACACACGGCUCACCAAACUUCAACAUCUUGGUUAUGAAAUCCAGUGUAAAAAGAGAUAAGAGAAUCAAGCUGCAGAUGCCUUGUCCAAACUUUCAUGCUUAUUAGUUGCAAAUAUUACUGCACACCUAGUGCUAGAAGAGCUUUUUCUUGCAAUUAAACAACUUUAGAGUUUUGAUCUUAAAUUGGUGUAAUUAUUUGUAGAACUACAAAGUGAUGUUGCCUCUCACCCUAUUAUGCAUGGAUUAAUUGCCAAUUGAGGAGGAAAAGAAAAUUGGUUAUUGAUGAUUCUAAUGAGUUAAAAUCUAAGCUUUUAGAUUAUUAUUACAAUUUAGCAUCGGGAGGUCAUUUUGGAGUAAGUACCACAAUUAGAAGUGAUGAGUUGUAAAACUUACAAUUUUUUCAUCAUUUAAUUCCUUGAAUUUUGACGCAGAACCCUAUGGCACAAGCCUCAAACCCACACGCAUAAGUAGAUAUGGAAUCCAAAGAUUUGAUCAAUUAUGGAAUAAUUGAUAAAUGCACAAGUAGUGGGUAGUUAUCCAGUAGUGGAUAGUUAACCAGUAGUGGGUAGUUGAUACGGAUCCAAUAGGGCAAAUUUCUAACAAUGGUGUGCAGCAAACUUAUGUCAUUCAAAUGGAUCUAAAAGGAGUUCAAAAUCAUAUUCAUAGGAUCCAUAUAUAUUUGGGGCGUGCUUCAACUCAUAUGGGACAGAUUUGGUGCAACACUUGCAAUCAUAGGCUUAGGGAGCCUAAUCAAACCUAUGGGCUAAAACUAUACAAAGGGCAGCCUAAAGUGAAGAUCAAGUAAGGUUUUUGUGAAGAUUCAGCUUUGUUAUGAUGGGCUUGCUAUAUUUUAUUUUGUUUUAUUUUAGCUUUGUUUGGGCUUGUAUUCUGGCCAUACUUUAUCUUUUAAGUUUUAGAGUGUUGGGCCAUGUUUUGGGCUUAUGUUUUAAUACUUAUGUGUUAUUUUAGUGUGUGAUUGGACUUUGGCCUUAUGUGUUUAAGUCAGGUCCAAGAAGAGUGUCUUAGGGUUUUAUUUGUUUUUCUCUUUACUAUAUAAGGAUAAGAAACAAUUGUAAGAGGCAGCUUUAAUCAAAAUUUCAGAAUUCUUCUCAUGCCUUUGGCGUGUAUUGCUUUGAGUGAGAGUGAGGAUUUGCUUUCAUCAAUUGCACCAGGAAUCUUGGCUUACUUAUCAACUAUUUGUUGUGGCGUUUGUCAGAUUCUCAUCUAAAUCCUUCGAUUAUUGGUGUUUCAGCUUCUCUAAGUGUGGGGUGCCAUAGGAGGUGGGUUUAUCAAAUCUUUGGAUUCCAUAUCUUCUUGUGCGUGUGGGUUUGAGGCUUGUGCCGUAGGGUUCCGCGUCAGUAGUUAUGCAGUAGUGGAUAGUGGUAUAGAUCAUGGGUCCAUGCAUAGUAGUGGGAAGUGGCAAAGAUCAUGGGUCUUUAUUUAGGUUAUAUAAAGCAUCUCUUUUUCCAUAUUAUAGACAGAUUAUCAAUUAUUCAAUACAAUUGCUUUAUGCGAUUCUUCUUUGAGAGCUUAAGAGAGAUCUUGGUUCUUGACAUUGCAUCACAAAUAAGGUUUGAUACUAACUUGUAUGUUUCUUAUUCUUGCUGCUUUUAAAAUCAAUCGGUUAUAAGUGUUCUUAAUUGCAUGUUAAUUAAGGGUGCUUUAGAUUGGGGAGUUGUUUUUUGAAUUAAGUUCUUUUUACUAGGGUAUGUGUCGUUUCAGCAAUGUCAAGGAAGCAAAAGCAAGCUUAAACCAAAAAAAGAAACUUAGAAUUCAAAUAAAAAAAAUGAACCUGAAUAAAAGUUUGAAUUUAAUUCACUUCAAAGCAAAUUAAAUAUAGAUUUAUAUAAAUUUACCCAAAAAGGAAAGUAUCAAACCCUACAAAUAGAAUCAUAAAAGAAAAAUGUAAAUUUCACUCAGAUCAGAAACAUGGACGAAAAUUCUGGUUUUAAAAGAAGGAUUUGAUAUCAAAUCGAUUUAGAUGCAGUUGCCUUAAAUGUGCACCUUAAGGAAUAGGCAGAUUUCUUUUGUCUCCUAAUCUGGAUUCAACCCAAUUCAAAACUCAAACUUGAUUCCCAUAAACUACAGCAAUCAAUUGAGAUAGGUAAGGAAAUAUAGAUGAAAAAGAAAGCAUAUCACAAUUUCGGCCAGAUCAAGAUAAAUAUGGCAAAGGCGAUUUUGUUUUUCUUCAUUUUUUUUUUUUUUGGAUUUCGAAUUUUUCUUCCAAAAGAGAUUAUGAUACGGAUCCAAUAGGGUAAAUUUCUAACAAUGGUGUGGAGUAAACUUAUGUCAUUCAAAUGGAUCUAAAAGGAGUUCAAAAUCAUAUUCAUAUGAUCCAUAUAUAUUUGGAGCGUGCUUUAACUCAUAUGGGACAGAUUUGGUGUAACACUUGCAAUCAUAGGCUUAGGGAGCCUAAUCAAACCUAUGGGCUAAAACUACACAAAGGGAAGCCUAAAGUGAAGAUCAAGUAAGGUUUUUAUGAAGAUUCAAGUUUGUUAUGAUGGGCUUGCUAUAUUUUUAUUAUUUAACACUUGUUUUAUUUUAGCUUUGUUUGGGCUUGUAUUCUGGCCAUACUUUAUCUUUUAAGUUUUAGAGUGUCGGGCCAUGUUUUGGGCUUAUGUUUUAAUACUUAUGUGUUAUUUUAGUGUGUGAUUGGGCUUGGGCCUUAUGUGAUACGAACCAGUAAACCCAAUCACAUGAGAAUCAAGGAAGCAAGGAUCCAUUGGUGCUCCCUAGUGGACCAGUGACAAGAAGCAAAGCUAAGAAGCUUGAAGCAGCUAUGAACUUACACAUUCAAGAACAAGUAACACAAGAAUUGAUUGAGCUUGCCUUUGACAAAUGUCUCGUGAAGCUUGAAGACACACCUAAGCUACUCACCUUGCUUAAGGUGUGUAAUGGAGAUAGCACUCUCUAAUUUAUUCAGCAUUGAUAUGAUGGGCUUGCUAUAUUUUUAUGAUUUAACACUUGUUUUAUUUUAGUUUUGUUUGGGCUUGUAUUCUGGCCAUAUUUUAUCUUUUAAGUUUUAGAGUGUUGGGCCAUGUUUUGGGCUUAUGUUUUAAUACUUAUGCGUUAUUUUAGUGUGUGAUUAGGCUUGGGCCUUAAGUGUUUAAGUCAGACCCAAGAAGAGUGUUUAGGGUUUUAUUUCUUUUUCUCCUUACUAUAUAAGGAUAAGAAACAAUUGUAAGAGGCGGUUUUUAAUCAACAUUUCAGAAUUCUUCUCAUGCCUUUGGCGUGUAUUACUUUGAGUGAGAGUGAGGAUUUGCUUUCAUCAAUUGCACUAGGAAUCUUGGCUUACUUAUCAACUAUUCGUUGUGGCGUUUGUCAGAUUCUCAUCUAAAUCCUUCGAUCAUUGGUGUUUCAGCUUCUCUAAGUGUGGGGUGCCAUAGGAGGUGGGUUUAUCAAAUCUUUGGAUUCCAUAUCUACUUGUGCGUGUGGGUUUGAGGCUUGUGCCAUAGGGUUCCACGUCAGUUGGUAUCAGAGCCAAAGUGAGGUAAAUUCUUAUUUAUCUCAGGAUCUAGAGUUUUUUUUUUCUGAGUUUUCCUUUUCUUCGUUAUUGAUUUCGGUGAAAGCUUUUGUGUCCAUGGCUGCACCUUCUUGAUCAUUAAUCAACAAAAAAAAAAUUUAGAAAAAAAUCGCCUUUGCCAUAUUUAUCUUGAUCUGGCCGAAAUUGUGUUAUGCUUCCUUUUCAUCCAUAUUUCCUUACCUAUCUCAAUUGAUUGCUGUAGUUUAUGGAAAUCAAUUUUGAAUUUUGAAUUGGGUUGAAUCCAGAUUAGAAGACAAAAGAAAUCUGCCUAUUUAAGGUGCACAUUUAAGGCAACUGCAUCUAAAUCGAUUUGGUGUCAAACCCAUCUUUUAAUGCCCAUUUUCGUCCAUUAUGCUGCACUGAGUGAGAUUUUUUUUUUUUGUCUAUUUGUGGGGUUUUGAUACUUGCCUUUUUUGGGUAGAUUUAAAUAGAUCCGUAUUUAUGCUGCAUUGAGUGAGAUUUAAUUUGUGUGUACUUUCCAAAUUGUCAGUGUCUUCUUUCUAGUUUUUGCGCGCUUCCUUCUUUCUUUAGGUUUCUUCUUUGUUUCAUUAAAUGCACCUUGUGGUUGGUUGGUUGACCUUAGUUUCUGAAGUGCAAUUGAAGAAUCAGCAAAAGAGUGGUAAGUGUGCAGACACUUGAGUGCUUUCCUUUCUAACAUAAUAGUACUGGUGAAAGUGAAUCGGACAUGGGUAACGAUUAUGAGAUCUUUAAGAAAUCAGUCAGUGGUGAGUUACAAAGGCUCAGUAGGGCUCUUGAGAGAAUGACCGUAAGUAUGGAGAGUUUGAAAGUCUCACAGGCUUCCACUUCUACAAGAAUGGCCCAUCGAAUUCUUAACCCCGAUAGACCACAAGUCCGAGAACUUCAAGUUCGAGGUGAAGCUGAUGAUACAGAAGAUAUUGUCGGACAAGGAAGGGGGAGAGGAGAAGUUCAUGGAGGUAAUAGAACUGGCGUAGGGUGGAAUAGAGGUGGAGAUGCUAGACUUGGCAGAAAUGAUGAUGAACCGAGACAUACCAAACCAACACAAUUGAUGGUGACUUGAGCUCUAUAAAGAUGAAAGUUCCUGAAUUUAAAGGGAAUAACAAUGCUGAAGAAUACAUUGAAUGGGAGAGAAAAACUGAGCAAAUAUUUGAGUGUCAUAACUAUACCGAGGAGAAGAAGUCUCAUAUCGCCGCCGUUGAGUUCACGGGUUAUGCCUCUUUCUGGUGGGAUCAAUUGAAAUCCACUAGGAGGAAUAAGGGCUUAAGGGCAGUUCCACCAUGGGACUAUUUGAAAGAGUUGAUGCGCCAAAGAUUUAUUCCUUCGCACUAUUAUAGGGAUUUGUACAAUAGGUUGGCAAGUCUCCUGCAAGGAGGAAAGAGUGUGGAAGAAUACCACAAGGAGAUGGAGAUGAUGAUGGCUAGGUCUCAUAUUGAGGAGGAUGAUCAAAUGUUGAUGUCCAGAUUUCUAGGUGGUCUUAACCACUACAUUGCCGAAGAACUUGACAUGUACCAAUACAAUACCAUGGAGGAUAUGGUAGAUAAAGCAAUGAAAAUAGAAAGGCGACACAAGGGCAGAAAUAAUCUUAAACUCACAUACAAGUCCGCAAAUAGUGGUGGUGGAUUUUCAAGCUAUAGAAGUGGAGAAAAGAAAGAUUAUAAAAGCCCAAUCCAAGGGGGCAAAGAUUCGAUCCCCACUAACAAAGGACCUUCUCAAGGGAAUAACAAGGAACAGUCAGGUACUUCUAACUCUUCUAACCCUAAUAGAGAGAUAAAAUGUUUUAAAUGUUUGGGAAAAGGACAUAUUGUAUCUCAAUGUCCUAAUAAAAGAGUUAUGAUAGCAACUGCUGAUGGGGGUGUAGUGUCUGAUUCUAAUCAUAGUGAUGAUGAGAUAUAUGCUAAUAUGACUGAAUUGAUUGAUGCUCAUAAUGACUGUGAUGAUUCGGAUGUGUUUGUUGAUAAUGUGUUGCUUGCUGAACGUGGUGAGAUGCUUGUUGCUAGGCGUGCUUUGAAUAUCCAGGUUAAGGAAGAAAGCCUAGAACAACGGGAAAACAUAUUUCACACUAGGUGUUUGGUUAAUGGAAAAGUGUGUACUCUCAUUAUUGAUGGGGGUAGUUGCACAAAUGUGGCUAGUGUGUAUAUGGUGGAGAAAUUGGGUUUGGCUUUUAUUAAACACCCUAAGCCAUACAGAUUGCAAUGGUUGAAUGAUUGUGGUGAGGUUAGGGUUACACGCCAAGUGCUUAUACCAUUUUCUAUUGGUAGGUACAAGGAUGAGAUCUUAUGUGAUGUGGUACCUAUGCAGGCAAGCCAUAUGUUGUUGGGUAGGCCGUGGCAAUAUGAUAGAAAGGUGCAAUAUGAUGGGUUCAAUAACAAGUACUCCUUUACUUAUGAAGGAUAGAAGGUUAUACUCGCUCCUUUAUCACCUCAAGAGGUAUAUGCUGAUCAAAUAAAGAUGCUGGAGAGGGAGAGGGAGGCUUCGGCCUUGGCUACAAAGGGGAGUGAAAGCUUGAGUUCUGCGGUAAAAAUGAGAGAAAAGUGUGAGUUUGAGAGUAAAGAGGCUGGAAAAGAAUCAAGACCAAUAAAUGACCCAUUGGUGAGAGAAAAGAUGCAAGAGGGGAAGGCAAAACAAACAUUUUAUAUGAGAGCGAGAGAAGCUAAGAGUGCUAUAUCUUUAGGGCAGCCCAUGUUGCUUAUAAGAUAUAAGGAGAUUUUAUUUGCUGACACUGAUAUUAACCUUUCUUCUUUGCCUUCUAGUUUUAAGUCUAUGAUGCAGGAAUUCACUGAUGUCUUUCCAGAUGAGCUACCUAGUGGAUUGCCACCGUUGAGGGGGAUUAAGCAUCAGAUAGAUUUCAUACCUGGUUCUAGCAUUCCAAAUAGACCAGCUUACCGAAGCAAUCCAAUGGAAACAAAGGAAAUGCAAAGGUAAAUUGACGAGCUUAUGGAGAAGGGAUUGGUGAGAGAAAGUUUAAGUCCAUGUGUUGUUCCUGUGCUGCUUGUUCCAAAGAAGGAUGGCACUUGGCGAAUGUGUGUUGAUUGUAGAGCAGUUAACAAGAUCACAGUGAAGUAUAGGCAUCCUAUACCUCGGCUAGAUGACAUGUUGGAUGAGCUUCACAGUGCCAGGUACUUUACAAAAAUUGAUCUUAUGAGUGGAUAUCAUCAGAUUAGGAUGAAACCUGGUGAUGAAUGGAAAACUACAUUUAAGACAAAGUAUGGUUUGUAUGAAUGGUUAGUUAUGCCUUUUGGUUUGUCAAAUGCACCUAGUACGUUUAUGAGGCUAAUGAAUCAUGUGUUGCGUGCAUACUUAAGAAAAUUUGUAGUUGUUUACUUUGAUGAUAUCUUGAUCUAUAGCAGGUCUCUCGAUGAACAUAUUGAGCAUGUUAGGUUGGUUCUGCAGGUUUUGAGGCAAGAGAGCUUGUAUGCUAAACUUAAGAAGUGCACAUUUUGUAUAGAUAGACUUGUUUUCCUUGGUUUUGUUGUGAGUGCACAGGGAAUUGAGGUAGAUGAAGAGAAGCUGAAAGCUAUAAAGGAGUGGCCUAUUCCUAAAUCUAUUUCAGAUGUGAGGAGCUUUCAUGGCCUUGCAAGCUUUUACAGGAGGUUUGUUUGCGAUUUCUCUACGAUUGCAGCACCACUCACAGGAAUUAUUAAGAAGGAAGUUGGGUUCAAAUGGGGAGAGGAGCAACAGAAAGCUUUUGACUGCUUAAAAGGGAAGUUAAUAUCCGCUCCUAUAUUAUCUUUACCUAACUUUGAUAAAACUUUUGAAAUUGAGUGUGAUGCUUCUGGCGUAGGUAUUGGGGCUGUAUUGAUGCAAGAGAAGAAACCAAUAGCCUACUUCAGCGAGAAGUUGAACGGAGCACAUCUCAAUUAUUCAACCUAUGAAAAGGAGUUGUAUGCCUUGGUGAGAGCACUGGACGUGUGGCAACACUAUCUCCUGCCCAAGGAGUUUGUGAUACAUACGGAUCAUGAGUCCUUAAAACACUUGAAGGGACAAGGCAAGUUGAAUAAGAGGCAUGGUAAGUGGGUUGAGUUUAUUGAACAAUUUUCAUAUGUGAUUAAGUAUAAGCAUGGGAAAGACAAUGUGGUUGCAGAUGCUUUGUCUAGGAGGUAUGCUUUAAUUAAUGCUGUGAGUUCUAAAUUGCUCGGUUUUGCGCAUGUUAAAAACUUGUACAUUAAUGAUGUUGAUUUCGGCAAUGUGUUGGUGGCUUGUGAGCAUGGAGCUUUUAACUCUUUUUAUAGGCAUGAUGGUUACUUGUUUAAGGGUAAGAAAUUGUGUAUACCUAGAUGCUCUAUGCAUGAUUUGCUUGUGCUUGAAUCUCAUUGCGGUGGUUUGAUGGGGCAUUUUGGAGUACAUAAGACUUAUGACACCUUAUUUGAGCAUUUUUAUUUGCCUUCUAUGCGCAAAGAUGUUGAGAAAGUGUGCGCUUCUUGUAUUGCAUGUAAACAGGCAAAGUCUAAGUCUAUGCCUCAUGGUCUUUAUAUGCCUUUACCUGUUCCUAGUUCACCUUGGAUGGAUAUUUCUAUGGACUUUGUGCUUGGCUUACCUAGGACUAGGCGUGGUAGAGACAGCAUAUUUGUUGUUGUCGACAGGUUUAGCAAGAUGGCUCACUUCAUUCCUUGCCAUAAAACUGAUGAUGCCAUCAAUGUCGCUGACUUGUUCUUCCGGGAAGUGGUUCGACUUCAUGGAGUGCCAAGGACAAUUGUGUCAGAUAGAGAUGCAAAGUACCUUUCGCAUUUUUGGAAAGUAUUGUGGGGUAAGUUGGGUACUAAACUCUUAUAUUCUACUACUUGUCAUCCACAGACAGAUGGCCAAACAGAGGUGGUGAAUAGAACUCUUGGUACCUUACUCAGAGCUAUAGUGGGUAAGAAUUUGAACACUUGGAAAGAUUGCUUGCCUUUCAUUGAGUUUGCAUAUAACCGUAGCAUACAUUCUUCUACGGGGUUUUCUCCAUUUGAGCUUGUUUAUGGUUUUAACCCACUAACUGUACUUGAUCUUGUUCCUUUACCUUUACAUGAGCUUGCUAGUUUAGAUGGUGCUAAAAAGGCAAAAUUGGUAAAGUCCUUACAUGAGAAGGCUAGGUCUAACAUAGAAAAGGGGAACAAGGUGUAUGCUGACAGGGCAAAUAGGAGACGGAAGAAAGUGGUGUUUGUUCCUGGUGAUUGGGUUUAGGUGCCCUUCCGAAAGGAACGAUUUCCAAAUCAGAGGAAGAAUAAGCUGGAUGCUCGUGGUGAUGGUUCAUUUCAAGUCUUAGAGUGAAUCAAUGACAAUGCUUAUAAAAUAGACUUGCCAGGUGAGUAUGGGGUUAGUGCUACCUUUAAUGUGUCUGACUUGUCUCCUUUUGACUAUGUUCCAGAUUUGAGGACAAAUCUUUUCGAGGAAGGAGGGAAUGAUACGAACCAGCAAACCCAAUCACAUGAGAAUCAAGGAAGCAAGGAUCCAUUGGUGCUCCCUUGUGGACCAAUGACAAGGAGCAAAGCUAAGAAGCUUGAAGCAGCUAUGAACUUACACAUUCAAGAACAAGUAACACAAGAAUUGACUGAGCUUGCCUUUGGCAAAUGUCUCGUGAAGCUUGAAGACACACCUAAGCUACUCACCUUGCUUAAGGUGUGUAAUGGAGAUAUCACUGUCUAAUUUAUUCAGCAUUGAUAUGAAGGGCUUGCUAUAUUUUUAUGAUUUAACACUUGUUUUAUUUUAGCUUUGUUUGGGCUUGUAUUCUGGCCAUAUUUUAUCUUUUAAGUUUUAGAGUGUUGGGCCAUAUUUUGGACUUAUGUUUUAAUACUUAUGCGUUAUUUUAGUGUGUGAUUGGGCUUGGGCCUUAAGUGUUUAAGUCAGACCCAAGAAGAGUGUUUAGGGUUUUAUUUGUUUUUCUCCUUACUAUAUAAGGAUAAGAAACAAUUGUAAGAGGCGGUUUUUAAUCAAAAUUUCAGAAUUCUUCUCAUGCCUUUGGCGUGUAUUGCUUUGAGUGAGAGUGAGGAUUUGCUUUCAUCAAUUGCACCAGGAAUCUUGCCUUACUUAUCAACUAUUCGUUGUGGCGUUUGUCAUAUUCUCAUCUAAAUCCUUCAAUCAUUGGUGUUUCAGCUUCUCUAAGUGUGGGGUGCCAUAGGAGGUGGGUUUAUCAAAUCUUUGAAUUCCAUAUCUACUUGUGCGUGUGGGUUUGAGGCUUGUACCAUAGGGUUCCGCGUCAUUAUGUAUUUAAGUCAGGUCCAAGAAGAGUGUCUUAGGGUUUUAUUUGUUUUUCUCCUUAUUAUAUAAGGAUAAGAAACAAUUGUAAGAGGCAGCUUUUAAUCAAAAUUUCAGAAUUCUUCUCAUGCUUUUGGCGUGUAUUGCUUUGAGUGAGAGUGAGGAUUUGCUUUCAUCAAUUGCACCAGAAAUCUUGGCUUACUUAUCAACUAUUCGUUGUGGCGUUUGUCAUAUUCUCAUCUAAAUCCUUCGAUCAUUGGUGUUUCAGCUUAUCUAAAUGUGGGGUGCCAUAGGAGGUGGGUUUAUCAAAUCUUUGGAUUCCAUAUCUACUUGUGCGUAUGGGUUUGAGGCUUGUGCCGUAGGGUUCCGCGUCAGUUGGUAUCAAAGCCAAAGUGAGGUAAAUUCUUAUUUAUCUCAGGAUCUAGAGUU